UGGGGAAUAUUGGACAAUGGGCGCAAGCCUGAUCCAGCCAUGCCGCGUGAGUGAUGAAGGCCCUAGGGUUGUAAAGCUCUUUCACCGGUGAAGAUAAUGACGGUAACCGGAGAAGAAGCCCCGGCUAACUUCGUGCCAGCAGCCGCGGUAAUACGAAGGGGGCUAGCGUUGUUCGGAUUUACUGGGCGUAAAGCGCAGGUAGGCGGACUAUUAAGUCAGGGGUGAAAUCCCGGGGCUCAACCCCGGAACUGCCUUUGAUACUGGUAGUCUUGAGUUCGAGAGAGGUGAGUGGAAUUCCGAGUGUAGAGGUGAAAUUCGUAGAUAUUCGGAGGAACACCAGUGGCGAAGGCGGCUCACUGGCUCGAUACUGACGCUGAGGUGCGAAAGCGUGGGGAGCAAACAGG
Molecule: ribosomal RNA, 404 nt
Filed under: Actinomycetes bacterium
Lineage: Bacteria; Bacillati; Actinomycetota; Actinomycetes
Description: Actinobacteria bacterium partial 16S ribosomal RNA
Rfam family: Bacterial small subunit ribosomal RNA
Source: RNAcentral